Durio zibethinus is the source of this 985-nucleotide non-coding RNA. NCBI's taxonomy places the organism in Eukaryota, Viridiplantae, Streptophyta, Magnoliopsida, Malvales, Malvaceae. The record is from RefSeq and is a predicted model, not a curated record.
AGAAAGGUUGAACUUUUACUCAUUGUUGUAAUACUCCACUUUUAUUUGUAUUAACAUUCUCACUCAUUCUAGCUAUAUUAUUACUAUUGGUCUAUCUAGCAAAGUAUUCACUGGUGGAGAGGAAGGGAAUCGUCAGCGUCAUCAUGCACAAAGAUUCAACGGCUGCAGAUAUCUUGAAGUCAUAUAUUCAUGCACUUGUUAUGGCCAACCUUAUGGAUGGAAAAAGAUCUCUACACUUGGAGAGCCAAUAAUGGAUGGAUAAGCAGUAUGAAACUUUUAUUCAAAAGCUAAAGUCAUCUGGUUGGAAAACUUAAAGGCUUCUCUCUCCCUCAAUCAUCUGGAAGGCACACUGGCACUGUGAGUCACUGGAUGAAAAAACUGACUAGGUUUCUUCAGUCUACCUCAUGAGAAUGGUUGAUGGCUGUUCUAUUGGAGUAAAUUGAAGAAAAAUGAAAAUCAUGGAUGAUACCUCAGUUUGAGAUAUCAACAUCACCUUUUCAUCCACUGCUUCAAUGGUGCAAAAAUUUUAACCUGGUUUAAACUGUCAUGUCUGAAGAGAUGGAAUCCAGCAAAGAAAGUCGAGGCUAUGAGUUGGAGACUCAAAAAUCACAUAAUUAUUUUGCUUUAUGUAUUUUAUAUUACCAAAGUUCAACCAUUGAUCAAAAGUCUUGACAUUUUCUCUUAUAAUCUUCAAUCCAUAGCCCCUCUCGUCCAUUGACAAAGCAGAAGCAUAUUUUCCACUGACCCUUCCAUCUGACAUAGCUCAUACAAUGAGCUUCCUGCACACUUUCUUCUCCACAAAUUAUCAAGGCAAAGCAUUUAAGCGGGCUCUCCGUAGGAAGACCUUGCUUUUGUCAGGCACCCUCAAACUCCACCCUCAAACACCCUCAAAACUCCAGAUUUCCUUCCAAGCCUUGCUGUCCAUGGUAUAUAUAAAAAACUUUUCUACAGAAAAGUGGUUUAUUCUAAGAAUAUUGUUUUUUUU